GAUGAACGCUGGCGGCGUGCCUAAUACAUGCAAGUCGAGCGAACAGACGAGGAGCUUGCUCCUCUGACGUUAGCGGCGGACGGGUGAGUAACACGUGGAUAACCUACCUAUAAGACUGGGAUAACUUCGGGAAACCGGAGCUAAUACCGGAUAAUAUAUUGAACCGCAUGGUUCAAUAGUGAAAGACGGUUUUGCUGUCACUUAUAGAUGGAUCCGCGUCGCAUUAGCUAGUUGGUAAGGUAACGGCUUACCAAGGCAACGAUGCGUAGCCGACCUGAGAGGGUGAUCGGCCACACUGGAACUGAGACACGGUCCAGACUCCUACGGGAGGCAGCAGUAGGGAAUCUUCGGCAAUGGGCGAAAGCCUGACGGAGCAACGCCGCGUGAGUGAUGAAGGUCUUCGGAUCGUAAAACUCUGUUAUUAGGGAAGAACAAAUGUGUAAGUAACUAUGCACGUCUUGACGGUACCUAAUCAGAAAGCCACGGCUAACUACGUG
This 497-nucleotide ribosomal RNA is filed under the name uncultured bacterium. RNAcentral's name for it is "partial 16S ribosomal RNA". It matches the Rfam family "Bacterial small subunit ribosomal RNA", at positions 28 to 507 of the family's 1533-position model. The record is from RNAcentral.